CUACUUACCUGGAUGGGGUUUAUGAGUGAUCAAUAAGGCUCAUGGCCUAGAUGAGUAGCUCAUAUUGCACUUUGUGAGUGUGUUGAUCUAUCGUCUCCUUUUUGUGGGAGUGUGGAUGUCAUAAUUUAUGAUAGAGGGGCUAUGCGUUCGCGCAACCCCUAC
Triticum aestivum (bread wheat) is the source of this 162-nucleotide non-coding RNA. The record is from Rfam. NCBI's taxonomy places the organism in Eukaryota, Viridiplantae, Streptophyta, Magnoliopsida, Poales, Poaceae.